RNAcentral lists this ribosomal RNA (903 nucleotides) under Hyalotia viridis. RNAcentral's name for it is "LSU rRNA". It matches the Rfam family "Eukaryotic large subunit ribosomal RNA", at positions 38 to 966 of the family's 3401-position model. Lineage: Eukaryota; Fungi; Ascomycota; Sordariomycetes; Amphisphaeriales; Sporocadaceae. The record is from RNAcentral.
GCAUAUCAAUAAGCGGAGGAAAAGAAACCAACAGGGAUUGCCUUAGUAACGGCGAGUGAAGCGGCAAUAGCUCAAAUUUGAAAUCUGGCGCUUGCGUCCGAGUUGUAAUUUGUAGAGGAUGAUUUUGGUUAGGUACCUUUCGAGUUCCUUGGAACAGGACGCCUUAGAGGGUGAGAGCCCCGUACGAUUGGAUGCCGAGCCUCUGUAAAUCUCCUUCGACGAGUCGAGUAGUUUGGGAAUGCUGCUCUAAAUGGGAGGUAAAUUUCUUCUAAAGCUAAAUACCGGCCAGAGACCGAUAGCGCACAAGUAGAGUGAUCGAAAGAUGAAAAGCACUUUGAAAAGAGGGUUAAAUAGCACGUGAAAUUGUUGAAAGGGAAGGAUUUAUGACCAGACUUUUUCUAGGAGAAUCAUCCGGUGUUCUCACCGGUGCACUUCUUUUAGUUUAGGCCAGCAUCGACUUUCGGCGGUGGAUAAAAGCUUUAGGAAUGUGGCUUCCCUCGGGAAGUGUUAUAGCCUAUUGUAUAAUACACUGCUGGGGGUCGAGGUACGCGCUUCUGCAAGGAUGCUGGCGUAAUGGUUAUCAAUCACCCGUCUUGAAACACGGACCAAGGAGUCGAACAUUUGUGCGAGUGUUUGGGUGUUAAACCCUCACGCGUAAUGAAAGUGAACGGAGGUGAGAGCCCUUACGGGUGCAUCAUCGACCGAUCCUGAUGUUUUCGGAUGGAUUUGAGUAAGAGCAUAAAUGUUCGGACCCGAAAGAUGGUGAACUAUGCGUGGAUAGGGUGAAGCCAGAGGAAACUCUGGUGGAGGCUCGCAGCGGUUCUGACGUGCAAAUCGAUCGUCAAAUCUGCGCAUGGGGCGAAAGACUAAUCGAACCCAUCUAGUAGCUGGUUACCGCCGAAG